Molecule: long non-coding RNA, 763 nt
Organism: Panicum hallii
Lineage: Eukaryota; Viridiplantae; Streptophyta; Magnoliopsida; Poales; Poaceae
Exons: 2
Source: RefSeq, a predicted model, not a curated record
UUCAGAAUUGAAAACAAAGGACAUAUCCAGAGACAAAAGCAGUGACAGGUGGCUUCAAUUUCUUCCAAAAAAAAAACCUUAUAUGCAUCACCACGACAUUAUUUCCAUUCCAUCCAGAUCCACGACUUAACUGCAAGAUCACACACAAUUCAAGCAACCUCCUGUAGUCCUGUUACCAUCACUACAGGGUAGCAUUAUUGCUGCUGCUCCCUGCUCGCGCACUGCCCGGCCUUCUUCCACCGCCGCUCCAGGCGAGCACGGCGGGGGGUAGCAGAAAGGGCACUUGGCCUCGCACUCGCUGUGCGUGCAGUAGCAUCGCGGCGCCGGCUGCUCCAGCGCGCAGCAAAAGCAGGGCUCGCUCUCCACGCAAUUCAACCCUUUGUAGACGCACAUCACCAGCUUGAUCUUGCUCUCGUCGACCGGCGAGGUCGAGUUGGCCGUGCUCGAACUAGGGCAUGGGGGCUGGGAGCGCGAGGCAUCCGAAGAGGAAAACAAGCGAGACGGUCACCACACGCGCUCCGCUGCCGCUCCUCGUAUUGGAUCUUGGUCUACCUUAGCUCCAGCAACACCUGAACUUGUGUGAGAUUCAUAUUAGAAAAAUGGAACUGGCUCCCGAAUGGCUGUAUAUGUAAGAGGCCCAAAGACAUUUUAUUAUAUUAUAAUGGGACAUGUUUAGCAUAACUGAAAAAAAAUGACACGCUUUAUUAGGGGACACGACAGCUCAGUUGUAUAUCUUGGAGCAAUAUAUGUUGCAUAUCGUCAA